AGAGCGAACGCUGGCGGCGUGCUUAACACAUGCAAGUCGAGUGCGCGUCUGUAGCAAUACAGAUGGCGCACGGCACACGGGUGCGUAACACGUGGGUAAUCUACCCUCUGAUGGGGAAUAACUCGCCGAAAGGCGAGCUAAUUCCGCAUAAUAUUCCGAGAAUUCAGGUUUUUGGACUGAAAGCCGUAAGGCGUCGGAGGAGGAGCCCGCGCACGAUUAGCUAGUUGGUGAGGUAAUGGCUCACCAAGGCUAUGAUCGUUAG
This 262-nucleotide ribosomal RNA is filed under the name uncultured bacterium. Its description in RNAcentral is "partial small subunit ribosomal RNA". It matches the Rfam family "Bacterial small subunit ribosomal RNA", at positions 26 to 286 of the family's 1533-position model. The record is from RNAcentral.